Molecule: ribosomal RNA, 207 nt
Filed under: uncultured bacterium
Lineage: Bacteria
Description: partial 16S ribosomal RNA
Rfam family: Bacterial small subunit ribosomal RNA
Source: RNAcentral
CGCGUAGGCGGUUGGAUAAGUCAGCUGUGAAAACCACGAGCUCAACUUGUGGCCUGCAGUUGAAACUGUCUGGCUAGAGUGUGGGAGAGGGAAGUGGAAUUCCUGGUGUAGCGGUGAAAUGCGUAGAUAUCAGGAGGAACACCGGUGGCGAAGGCGGCUUCCUGGACCACAACUGACGCUGAGGCGCGAAAGCUAGGGGAGCAAACA